RNAcentral lists this ribosomal RNA (292 nucleotides) under uncultured bacterium. RNAcentral describes it as "partial 16S ribosomal RNA". It matches the Rfam family "Bacterial small subunit ribosomal RNA", at positions 505 to 796 of the family's 1533-position model. The record is from RNAcentral.
GUGCCAGCCGCCGCGGUAAUACGAAGGUCCCAAGCGUUGUUCGGAAUCACUGGGCGUAAAGGGAGCGUAGGCGGCGUGGUAAGUCAGAUGUGAAAUCCCGGGGCUCAACCCCGGAACUGCAUCCGAUACUGCCAUGCUAGAGGAUUGGAGAGGUAGCUGGAAUUCUUGGUGUAGCAGUGAAAUGCGUAGAGAUCAAGAGGAACACUCGUGGCGAAAGCGAGCUACUGGACAAUUCCUGACGCUGAGGCUCGAAGGCUAGGGUAGCGAAAGGGAUUAGAAACCCCCGUAGUCC